UUCGAUAAACAUCAACUCACCUCGAACGCUCGUCCAACGUCGGCUAGAAGUCGAUAGGAGAAAUCCCGCACGCUCGCUCGACCUCCAACAGCUCAAUCGAGAGACCCACGCGCACGAACGGUCCUCCGAAAAAAAACGACAAAUCCGAACGAGCUCGAUCCUCAAAUCCCCAACGCACGAUGUAUACCAACUAGAGAGAAAGAAGAAGGA
Molecule: long non-coding RNA, 210 nt
Filed under: Ananas comosus (pineapple)
Lineage: Eukaryota; Viridiplantae; Streptophyta; Magnoliopsida; Poales; Bromeliaceae
Description: long non-coding RNA (ACOM_LNC031391)
Source: RNAcentral